GAUUAUGGCUCAGAAUCAACGCUGGCGGCGUGCCUAACACAUGCAAGUCGGACGAGAAAGUGGGGGCAACCCUGCGAGUACAGUGGCAGACGGGUGAGUAACACGUGAACAACCUACCCUUGAGUGGGGAAUAACACCGCGAAAGCGGUGCUAAUACCGCAUAAAAUUUUCAGGCUGCAUGGUCUGGAGAUCAAAAGCGCAAGUUGCUUGAGGAGGGGUUCGCGGCUGAUUAGCUAGUUGGUGAGGUAACGGCCCACCAAGGCAACGAUCAGUAGCCGGCCUGAGAGGGCGAACGGCCACACUGGAACUGAGACACGGUCCAGACUCCUACGGGAGGCAGCAGUGGGGAAUUUUGCGCAAUGGGCGAAAGCCUGACGCAGCCAACGCCGCGUGGAGGAUGAAGGCCUUCGGGUCGUAAACUCCUGUCGAUGGGGACGAAGUUCCGAAAGGGAUUGACUGUACCCGUUGAGGAAGCCACGGCUAACUCCGUGCCAGCAGCCGC
Molecule: ribosomal RNA, 502 nt
Filed under: uncultured bacterium
Lineage: Bacteria
Description: bacterial SSU rRNA
Rfam family: Bacterial small subunit ribosomal RNA
Source: RNAcentral